CUAUAUAUACCCUGUAGAACCGAAUUUGUGUGAUAUUCAUAUAGUCACAGAUUCGAUUCUAGGGGAAUAUAUGGU
Non-coding RNA from Anas platyrhynchos (mallard), 75 nucleotides. The record is from Rfam. NCBI's taxonomy places the organism in Eukaryota, Metazoa, Chordata, Aves, Anseriformes, Anatidae.